UACGGGGGGGGCAAGCGUUGUUCGGAAUUACUGGGCGUAAAGGGCUCGUAGGUGGCCAACUAAGUCAGACGUGAAAUCCCUCAGCUUAACUGGGGAACUGCGUCUGAGACUGAUUGGCUCGAGGACAGGAGAGGAACGCGGAAUUCCAGGUGUAGCGGUGAAAUGCGUAGAUAUCUGGAGGAACACCGGUGGCGAAGGCGGCGUUCUGGACUGUUUCUGACACUGAAUAACGAAAGCCAGGGGAGCAAACGGG
This 253-nucleotide ribosomal RNA is filed under the name uncultured bacterium. Its description in RNAcentral is "partial 16S ribosomal RNA". It matches the Rfam family "Bacterial small subunit ribosomal RNA", at positions 524 to 776 of the family's 1533-position model. The record is from RNAcentral.